RNAcentral lists this unclassified non-coding RNA (274 nucleotides) under Hevea brasiliensis (rubber tree). The record is from RNAcentral. Lineage: Eukaryota; Viridiplantae; Streptophyta; Magnoliopsida; Malpighiales; Euphorbiaceae.
GCUUGAAGCGGCUGCGAUAAAUCUCCAGCGCCGGGAUCAGUUGGUCGGGUGCGAAAUGCGAGGCGAAUGCAUAUGGAAGUCCGAGUUCGGCGGCGAGCAUCGCGCCGAAAUGGCUUGACCCCAGAAUCCACAGCGGCACGUUUGUGCCGGCAGCGGGCACCGCCUGGAUGCGCUGGUUCGGCCCGGCGGGCGCCAGGAAGGCCUGCACCUCCAGCACGUCCUGAGGAAAAUUGUCGGCAGCUUCGGGCGAGCGCCGCAACGCGCGCAGCGUGAG